GUCGUAACAAGGUUUCCGUAGGUGAACCUGCGGAAGGAUCAUUACAAAAAUUCAUUCCAACUCAACCAAGCCUCUUUAUAUGGCAGACCCGAAAGGUGUUAGCCAUUAUAAAACUAAAAAUCAAAACAACCUAACUAAGACCUAAACAAAAACCAAAUUCUCAACGGUGGAUGUCUAGGUUCCCACAACGAUGAAGAACGCAGCGAAGUGCGAUAAGCAGUGCGAAUUGCAGAACCGUGAGUCAUCAGAUUUUUGAACGCAACUUGCGCCAAUGUAGCUUGCUGCAUGGCACGUCUGGUCCAGUGUCUUAUUCUCUCAUCACCUAAAUCAUAAUGCUUUAGAUACCCUUCUAAAGCCAAGUAUGAAAGCACUCUGCAAAUGCGCGUGACCCUUGUGGUCGCACUCAAUGCGGUCGUCACGUUCUUAUGAAUGUGAACUCAUUGAGAGCAUUCGUAGUAUUUCUUUGAAAUAAAGUGCUUAGAUAAGUCAACUUAGAACUCGUAUCUGGGCUCAGGUGGGACUACCCGCUGAACUUAAGCAUAUCACUAAGCGGAGGAAAAGAAACCAACAGGGAUGGCCUCAGUAAUGGCGAAUGAAGCGGCCAGAGCCCAAGAUGGAAAUCACCGGUCAGUGGCCGGCGAAUUGUAGUCUUGAGAGGGGAACUCAAAGAGAGGAGGCGUAGAAUCCGUUGGAAAGCGGAGCCAGAGAAGGUGAAAGCCCUGUACGUGACGCCACCGAUCAACGAGAGAACCAUCGAAGAGUCGGGUUGUUUGAUAUUGCAGCCCUAAGCGGGAGAUAAACUUCUUCUAAGGCUAAGUAUAUGUGGGAAACCGAUAGCGAACAAGUACUGUGAAGGAAAGAUGAAAAGCAAUUUGGAAAGAAUGUCAAAAGACCUGAAACCGUUGAGGAGGAAGCGGUAGAGAAGUAUGGUAUCUGUAGGGCUAAGGUGGAGGUUCGCCAAAGCUGUGCCCGAAAGAGUACACAAGAUGGAGCGAUUCGCCGGCAAAAGCUGUGCUAGGUUUACCUGGUGUAUGCUGGUCGGAGUUUGGCUUGAGGGGCUAUGUGCGAUCUUGUGAAAAAAGUCUUUACCGGCUCGUCUUGAAACACGAACCAAGGAGUCUAACGUACACGCGAGUAUGAAGGUGGAGAAACCGUCAUGCAAAAUGAAAGUAAUAGAUGCCAAAUUAGCAGCAUCGACCGACUGAGCUCUCGGGUGAGGUUUGAGUAAGAGCGUGUCCUUUAGGACCCGAAAGAUGGUGAACUAUGCGUGA
RNAcentral lists this ribosomal RNA (1271 nucleotides) under Stylonychia lemnae. RNAcentral's name for it is "eukaryotic LSU rRNA". The stretch from base 501 to 1271 matches the Rfam family "Eukaryotic large subunit ribosomal RNA", at positions 1 to 840 of the family's 3401-position model. Lineage: Eukaryota; Ciliophora; Spirotrichea; Sporadotrichida; Oxytrichidae. The record is from RNAcentral.